GGGACACGUGGUAUCCUGUCUGAAUAUGGGGGGACCAUCCUCCAAGGCUAAAUACUCCUGACUGACCGAUAGUGAACCAGUACCGUGAGGGAAAGGCGAAAAGAACCCCGGCGAGGGGAGUGAAAAAGAACCUGAAACCGUGUACGUACAAGCAGUGGGAGCACGCUUAGGCGUGUGACUGCGUACCUUUUGUAUAAUGGGUCAGCGACUUAUAUUCUGUAGCAAGGUUAACCGAAUAGGGGAGCCGAAGGGAAACCGAGUCUUAACUGGGCGUUAAGUUGCAGGGUAUAGACCCGAAACCCGGUGAUCUAGCCAUGGGCAGGUUGAAGGUUGGGUAACACUAACUGGAGGACCGAACCGACUAAUGUUGAAAAAUUAGCGGAUGACUUGUGGCUGGGGGUGAAAGGCCAAUCAAACCGGGAGAUAGCUGGUUCUCCCCGAAAGCUAUUUAGGUAGCGCCUCGUGAAUUCAUCUCCGGGGGUAGAGCACUGUUUCGGCAAGGGGGUCAUCCCGACUUACCAACCCGAUGCAAACUGCGAAUACCGGAGAAUGUUAUCACGGGAGACACACGGCGGGUGCUAACGUCCGUCGUGAAGAGGGAAACAACCCAGACCGCCAGCUAAGGUCCCAAAGUCAUGGUUAAGUGGGAAACGAUGUGGGAAGGCCCAGACAGCCAGGAUGUUGGCUUAGAAGCAGCCAUCAUUUAAAGAAAGCGUAAUAGCUCACUGGUCGAGUCGGCCUGCGCGGAAGAUGUAACGGGGCUAAACCAUGCACCGAAGCUGCGGCAGCGACGCUGAUGCGUUGUUGGGUAGGGGAGCGUUCUGUAAGCCUGCGAAGGUGUGCUGUGAGGCAUGCUGGAGGUAUCAGAAGUGCGAAUGCUGACAUAAGUAACGAUAAAGCGGGUGAAAAGCCCGCUCGCCGGAAGACCAAGGGUUCCUGUCCAACGUUAAUCGGGGCAGGGUGAGUCGACCCCUAAGGCGAGGCCGAAAGGCGUAGUCGAUGGGAAACAGGUUAAUAUUCCUGUACUUGGUGUUACUGCGAAGGGGGGACGGAGAAGGCUAUGUUGGCCGGGCGACGGUUGUCCCGGUUUAAGCGUGUAGGCUGGUUUUCCAGGCAAAUCCGGAAAAUCAAGGCUGAGGCGUGAUGACGAGGCACUACGGUGCUGAAGCAACAAAUGCCCUGCUUCCAGGAAAAGCCUCUAAGCAUCAGGUAACAUCAAAUCGUACCCCAAACCGACACAGGUGGUCAGGUAGAGAAUACCAAGGCGCUUGAGAGAACUCGGGUGAAGGAACUAGGCAAAAUGGUGCCGUAACUUCGGGAGAAGGCACGCUGAUAUGUAGGUGAAGUCCCUCGCGGAUGGAGCUGAAAUCAGUCGAAGAUACCAGCUGGCUGCAACUGUUUAUUAAAAACACAGCACUGUGCAAACACGAAAGUGGACGUAUACGGUGUGACGCCUGCCCGGUGCCGGA
This 1469-nucleotide ribosomal RNA is filed under the name Escherichia coli. RNAcentral describes it as "partial 23S ribosomal RNA". It matches the Rfam family "Bacterial large subunit ribosomal RNA", at positions 419 to 1873 of the family's 2925-position model. The record is from RNAcentral. Lineage: Bacteria; Pseudomonadati; Pseudomonadota; Gammaproteobacteria; Enterobacterales; Enterobacteriaceae.